AUCCGGCUGAUGAGUCCUAAAUAGAAUGGAACUCGCGUCCUGCAU
This 45-nucleotide non-coding RNA is filed under the name Schistosoma margrebowiei. Lineage: Eukaryota; Metazoa; Platyhelminthes; Trematoda; Strigeidida; Schistosomatidae. The record is from RNAcentral.